AUUUUUGAGAGUUUGAUCCUGGCUCAGGAUAAACGCUGGCGGCGUGCCUUAGGCAUGCAAGUCGAAUGGUGCUUUGGUCGCAAGGCUGAAGUGCAAUGGCGGACGGGUGAGUAAUAGUAAGGAAUCUACCCCGAAGUGAAGGAUAGCUCGCCGAAAGGCGGGGUAAUCCUGCAUGUGCCGAGCUCAGCUCGGCAAAGAGCGUAACUGCUCGCUUUGGGAGGAGCCUUAUUCCUAUCAGCUAGUUGGUGGGGUAAUGGCCUACCAAGGCUAUGACGGGUAGCUGGUGUGAGAGCAUGUACAGCCACAAUGGCACUGAGAUACGGGCCAUACACCUACGGGUGGCAGCAACCGGGAAUCGUCGGCAAUGGACGAAAGUCUGACCGCGCGACGCCGCGUGAGGGAUGAAGCCUUUCGGGGUGUAAACCUCUUUUGCCCCGACACAUGUCGGGGAGAAUAAGCGCCUACUAACUACGUGCCAGCAGUCGCGGUAAUACGUAGGGCGCAAGCGUUAUCCGAAUUUACUGGGCGUAAAAGGUCGCGUAGGCGGCUUACAACAUCUUAUCUUAAAUGUCUCCGCUUAACGGGGUCACGGGUAAGAGAUGUGUAAACUAGAGUAUCGGUGGAGUUUCUGGAACUUCCGGUGUAGCAGUGAAAUGCGUUGAUAUCGGAAGGAACACCAAGAGCGAAGGCAGGAAACUAAUCGAUUACCCCGAUUUAAUCGGGGUUACUGACGCUGAGGCACGAUAGCUAGGGGAGCGAAGCAGAUUAGAGACCUGCGUAGUCCUAGCCGUAAACGCAUGGGUGCUAGUUGCCCGUCGCAAGAUGGGUGACGUAAGCUAACGCGUUAAGCACCCCGCCUGGGGAGUACGACCGCAAGGUUAAAACUCAAAGGAAUUGGCGGGGACCCGCACAACCGGUGGAGCAUGUGGUUUAAUUCGAGACGAAGCGAAAGACCUCACCACGGUUAGACAUGCUACCGUACAGUCCUGAUGAAAAUCGGGACAAUUCGCAAGAAUGGUAGCAAAGCUGCUGCAUGGCUGUCGUCAGCUCGUACCGUGAGGUGUUCCCUUAAGUGGGGUAACGAGCGCAACCCUUGCCGUUUGUUAAAUUUUCAAACGGGACGGUCCCGAUGUAUAUCGGGAAGGAAGGUGGGGACGACGUCAAGUCAGCACGGCGCUUAUGCCGUGGGCCACACACAUCCUACAAUGGCGAAUAACAACGAGCCGCGAGAGGGUGACCUUAAGCAAAUCUCUGAAAUUUCGCCUCAGUUGGGAUUGAAGUCUGCAACUCGACUUCAUGAACUAGGAAUCGGUAGUAAUCGCGGAUCAGCAGGUCGCGGUGAAUACGUUCUCGGGUCUUGCACACACCGCCCGUCAAGCCAACAAAGUUGAUGGUGGCCGAUGUCCGCCAACUGGCGGAUGAAGCCAAACUCAGCGAUGGGGACUAAGUCGUAACAAGGUAUCCCUACUGGAAGGUGGGGAUGGAUCACCUCCUUU
This is a non-coding RNA of Candidatus Gottesmanbacteria bacterium, 1496 nucleotides long. The record is from Rfam. Lineage: Bacteria; Candidatus Gottesmaniibacteriota.